This is a non-coding RNA of Nelumbo nucifera (sacred lotus), 73 nucleotides long. The record is from Rfam. NCBI's taxonomy places the organism in Eukaryota, Viridiplantae, Streptophyta, Magnoliopsida, Proteales, Nelumbonaceae.
GGGGAUGUAGCUCAAAUGGUAGAGUGCUCGCUUAGCAUGCGAGACGUACGCGGUUCGAUACCCCGCAUCUCCA